GAUAUACACAUAUCCUCAGUGAUUGAUAUAAUCUUGCAUCCAGUUCAUGUUAAGUUAUGGGCAUAGAAAACUCUAGAGGAAAGAACCGAAUACAAGAUAAUAUCUUAACGUUUCAGAAACCAAAAUGUGGACUACCAUGCACAAUGCAAUGCAGAAGAGCUCACUGGAUAUAGUGCACAGUUGUUUUUCAGUUAUAAAACUACUCUGGAGCUCAUAAAAUGAAGCAUUAUAAUCAACAUUAUUG
RNAcentral lists this long non-coding RNA (244 nucleotides) under Mytilus galloprovincialis (Mediterranean mussel). The record is from RNAcentral. Lineage: Eukaryota; Metazoa; Mollusca; Bivalvia; Mytilida; Mytilidae.